AGCCUUCUGAAUUCAUGUAGAGAUUCGUCGGACACCAGACCAUCAGUUCUGAUGAGACUUCCAAUAUAAGUGAAGUG
RNAcentral lists this microRNA precursor (77 nucleotides) under Schistosoma margrebowiei. RNAcentral's name for it is "mir-3492 microRNA precursor family". It matches the Rfam family "mir-3492 microRNA precursor family". The record is from Rfam by way of RNAcentral. Lineage: Eukaryota; Metazoa; Platyhelminthes; Trematoda; Strigeidida; Schistosomatidae.